CUACGGGAGGCUCCAGUGGGGAAUAUUGGACAAUGGGGGAAACCCUGAUCCAGCAAUGCCGCGUGUGUGAAGAAGGCCUGCGGGUUGUAAAGCACUUUCGGUUGGGAGGACUGCUUCUAGCACUAAUAUUGCUGGAAGUUGACGUUACCUUCAGAAGAAGCACCGGCUAACUCCGUGCCAGCAGCCGCGGUAAUACGGAGGGUGCAGGCGUUAAUCGGAAUUACUGGGCGUAAAGCGCGCGUAGGCGGCUAGAUCAGUCGGGUGUGAAAGCCCCGGGCUUAACCUGGGAACUGCAUCCGAUACUGUCUAGCUUGAGUACAGGAGAGGAGAGUGGAAUUCCACAUGUAGCGGUGAAAUGCGUAGAUAUGUGGAGGAACACCAAUGGCGAAGGCAGCUCUCUGGCCUGAUACUGACGCUGAGGUGCGAAAGCGUGGGGAGCAAACAGGAUUAGAUACCCUAGUAGUC
This 465-nucleotide ribosomal RNA is filed under the name uncultured bacterium. RNAcentral describes it as "partial 16S ribosomal RNA". It matches the Rfam family "Bacterial small subunit ribosomal RNA", at positions 339 to 795 of the family's 1533-position model. The record is from RNAcentral.